UCGGCAAUGGACGGAAGUCUGACCGAGCAACGCCGCGUGAGUGAAGAAGGUUUUCGGAUCGUAAAGCUCUGUUGUAAGAGAAGAACGAGUGUGAGAGUGGAAAGUUCACACUGUGACGGUAUCUUACCAGAAAGGGACGGCUAACUACGUGCCAGCAGCCGCGGUAAUACGUAGGUCCCGAGCGUUGUCCGGAUUUAUUGGGCGUAAAGCGAGCGCAGGCGGUUAGAUAAGUCUGAAGUUAAAGGCUGUGGCUUAACCAUAGUACGCUUUGGAAACUGUUUAACUUGAGUGCAAGAGGGGAGAGUGGAAUUCCAUGUGUAGCGGUGAAAUGCGUAGAUAUAUGGAGGAACACCGGUGGCGAAAGCGGCUCUCUGGCUCGUAACUGACGCUGAGGCUCGAAAGCGUGGGGAGCAAACAGGAUUAGAUACCCUGGUAGUCCACGCCGUAAACGAUGAGUGCUAGGUGUUAGACCCUUUCCGGGGUUUAGUGCCGCAGCUAACGCAUUAAGCACUCCGCCUGGGGAGUACGACCGCAAGGUUGAAACUCAAAGGAAUUGACGGGGGCCCGCACAAGCGGUGGAGCAUGUGGUUUAAUUC
This 596-nucleotide ribosomal RNA is filed under the name Streptococcus sp. oral taxon 058. RNAcentral describes it as "bacterial SSU rRNA". It matches the Rfam family "Bacterial small subunit ribosomal RNA", at positions 365 to 952 of the family's 1533-position model. The record is from RNAcentral. Lineage: Bacteria; Bacillati; Bacillota; Bacilli; Lactobacillales; Streptococcaceae.